RNAcentral lists this small nuclear RNA (111 nucleotides) under Lepeophtheirus salmonis (salmon louse). The record is from RNAcentral. Lineage: Eukaryota; Metazoa; Arthropoda; Copepoda; Siphonostomatoida; Caligidae.
GCACUUACCUGCUUCGGCAUUACAUGUACUAAACUUGAAAAGAUAAUGGAAAGAUUAACAUAGCCCCUGUGCAAGGAUGACAUGCAAAAUUGUUAAAAUAGAACGGACACA